Molecule: long non-coding RNA, 1609 nt
Filed under: Numida meleagris (helmeted guineafowl)
Lineage: Eukaryota; Metazoa; Chordata; Aves; Galliformes; Numididae
Description: lncRNA (ENSNMEG00000013309.1)
Source: RNAcentral
AAAAAACAGACUCCUUUGCCAUAAAAUUGAAGCUGAAUUUAGUUAUCAUUACACCAAUGUUUCCAGCAAGUAUGAUUGCUAAUCAUGUCAACAGUAAAUUGAAUAUCUACAUUCCCUUUCCUACACAUACAAAUCUUCUACUAUUAGCAUAAUUGUAAUUAGUAACUAUUUUUUUCACAGUACUACCCAAAAUUCCUAAUCAAAAUCUGGCAUAAAUACAGAUGAAGAGAGUAUUCCAACCCAGGAAAACUCAGCUAAAGCGUUACAGCAUCAGGAAUUGCCUGCUCUGCCUACACAUUCAGGAGAUUUGCACUACCUUCUUAGAACAGAUUUCCUUGUCAAAUGGGGAACUAUGGGAUGGCUGGAGUGGAGCAUUUCCUCUGAGAGGACAGGAUGGAAAAGGGAUAGCUUUGCAGAGAUGUAACAGCAGUACUUCCAGGGUCUACCAAGAAGAUGCAGCUGGGCUCUUCACAGUGGGAGGAUGAGAGGCAAUGGGAAUAAGGUGAAAAAAGGAAGGUUCCAACUGAAUAUAAAGUAAAAUAUAUUCUUGAUGAAGACAAUCAAUCAGAGCCCAGACAGUGGUAUACACCUACGAAGUUUGUAUGAUUUCAACCUUUGAGACUUUCAAGACCAGACAGGAAGAAGCCCUGAACAGCCUGGUCUGAUCUCAUGGUUGACCCUCCAUGAGCAGGAGGUAGGACUAGAGAACUCCUGAGGUCUUUUCUAACCUCAGUUAUCCUAUGGUGCCUUGUGUCUGUGAUGUCAGCCUUCAUAAGCCUAAGUUAGAAACAAUAAGAACUUCAUCAAAUAUAAAACUCAAUUCUUGUAAAAUAUUUGGAUCCUACAUAUCAUGUGGAGAUUUGCUUAACUGCCACUUCAGGGCAUCUUAGGAUUUGCUUCUUUGCUUAACACAGUUGUGACAUUGAGCAGAUGUAUUAUGUUGACUUAAUUGUUAUCUGAGAUUUUUACAUAUUCAGUGAAACAUUAUUCUAAAUACAAAAGAUAAUUAAACUUCAAUGAAAUGAUUUACAAGAAAGGAACAAAUGUAGAUAUAGACAUAUGGAUAAGCAAAAGAAAGUUUAUAACACAAGCACGGGCUGCAUAUAAUAUAAUGUCUUCUUUACGACCUACAUAAUUCUACAUUUGCUGGGGUGUUGUAGCUAUAUAUUUGCAUAUACUGACAUUUUAGAUACUUUAAUUAUUGAUUUUAUAUAAUAAUUUGUAUGUAUUUUAAAUGACAUUACUAUACCACCUUUUUCCUCUAGAAUUAAAACAUGUAUUUUAACUUUUCCAUUUAAAUUAUUCCAAAAGCUAAGCAAAAAAAAAUUGCAGUAUGUAUUGUUCUAAUCAGUUUCUUAUUAGCAAAAAAUAUUUUGUCAACAUACAUCACGAUAUGAAUGAUACAUAUGGUACAAAUUUGAAGCUCUUUUAUAGUGCAUUUGUCUCAACAGUGGACCAUAUGAGACUGGUAGAGGGGAGUCCACAAAAAAAGAGCAAACUGACUGCUUAGUUCUGCUGUCAAAGAAAGACACUGUACAGCAUGAUAAUGAACGCAGAUUACAGUGAUUGUGGUUGAACAAUAAACUUUUGAAUAAUGUGAUUUUGUUCA